Molecule: ribosomal RNA, 82 nt
Filed under: uncultured bacterium
Lineage: Bacteria
Description: partial 16S ribosomal RNA
Source: RNAcentral
AAGGCUCACGGGUCGUAAACUCCUUUUCUCAGAGAAGAUGCAAUGACGGUAUCUGAGGAAUAAGCAUCGGCUAACUCUGUGC